ACCGCCUUUUUCUCUCUGUUACUAUUCUUUAAAGGUAUGUGAAAAAUGGCGAUUGACUGAAGAAUGCGAGAUUUCGAGUCAGUUUCAUCAUAAAUUGAUCCUUCUAAGAUUACAUAGUUCAUGUGUAUGAUCUAAUUUAACUUUAAUUGCGUUUUUGUGAAGAUUUUCGAGUCAAAACGUUGGUUUUCAAAGAAGAGAAACAAGAGAUUGGGUUUCUUCUGCAGUUGGUGAUUGAUUGAGAGCCAAGUGAAGGAAGAAUUUGAAGUUAGGGUUGUGAUUUGAUGCUAACUGAAUUGAGACAAAUAUGGAGAUAGUGAUUGUAGUCAGAUCGAGAAGAAGAUGGUAGAGAAAUUGAUGUCCGUGUUCGGUAGUUUUGAAGAUGUUGAUGGAGCUGGAUAUGGACCAAGCUGUUAGCUUCUGUUGCUGCUGCUGUGGUGGUCGGUAAUGUGACCGAAUGAUUUUGCUGGUUUAAGAUGUUGCAACUGGGUUGCUGCUGAAAACGAGUACAGUGGAUUGUUAGUUGAAGAGAUUGGAAGGUUUCAAAGACCUCCAGGUGCAGUAUCAUCUUCCAUGCUAGGUCUAGAGGCAGUCAAUGAUGGCCUGGAUGACUUCGGUUACAAAGAUUUCCAUUGCCUAAAUGAAUGAUCCACAUGAGUUUGAAACUUAAAGAGAAGUUUACAUGCAUCAUGGGUUGUUCACACAAAAAGGAAUUUGAGAAGGAGAUGAGACUGGUAGUGUUGUUGUUGAAGAAGAAGUUGUUACUGCAAUGGAUGUGUGCGGUUUUAGAUGGCUCAAAUGUUGUGGUUUGAGAAUGUGCAGGGGAUUGAAACUGCAAGGAAGGAAACUAUGGAGCUGACUUGAAUCUGGUGAUGGAGUUGAAAUACAGCUACAGGUGAAGCAACAUGAAUGGGUUCUGGACAGGGUUUGAUGGAAUUGAUUUGAUGUUGUUGGUGAUUGAAGUUGCACUGGUGAUGUCUGAAACAUAUGUGAAUGGUUAUUGUAGUUGCAGCUAAAAGCAUUGCAGGUGUUGAGCUGAAGCUGGUGGUGGUAUGUAGAGAUGAGUGAUGUGUUGUAGUUGAGGACAAAAACAAGGUCUGGAUUGCAGUGGUGUGAUGAUUGUAGCUGAGUUGAAGUCUUAAUGCAGCUAAGCUUGAUGUUGCUAUGAGGUGGAAGUGCUGUUUUAGUGAGCUGCGGUAUGUUUGAAAUGGAUGUGGUGUUUACUGAUAGAUGGAAGAAAGAUAGAACAGCAGAGUUGCUUAAGUGUGCCACGUCAGCAAGAUGCCACCACGUCAAGGAGAUGCCCACCACGUCAGCCAUGGAUUAACUGCGGUUAACAUUUGCUUGAGUUAAGAGCGAGGGAAUUUUGGGGACAGUUAACCCCGGUUUUUUUAAAAACUGUUAUGUCGUCCAGUGGACUGAAUUACAAAAAAGUAUGACCAUUUUGUAAAUGGUCCUUAACUCCUUAUCAAUUUUUGGAAAGGUUCUUUUAUUUUUGUUUUUUUAGUACACGUGACUGCCACGUCUGUCCAAGCUGUUUGUAACCGCUGUUGAAAUAGCACGGUUGGGUGGACACUGGACAUAGAGUUUUGUUUAACAGCUAAAGAUAUAGUGAAGAAUUUGAAGGCAACAUUUCGUCAAUUUAGAAGGGUUACUAAGUUCUUUGAAUUUUUA
This is a long non-coding RNA of Papaver somniferum (opium poppy), 1671 nucleotides long. RefSeq lists it as uncharacterized. The record is from RefSeq and is a predicted model, not a curated record. NCBI's taxonomy places the organism in Eukaryota, Viridiplantae, Streptophyta, Magnoliopsida, Ranunculales, Papaveraceae. The transcript has 4 exons.